RNAcentral lists this ribosomal RNA (540 nucleotides) under uncultured bacterium. RNAcentral's name for it is "bacterial SSU rRNA". It matches the Rfam family "Bacterial small subunit ribosomal RNA", at positions 338 to 873 of the family's 1533-position model. The record is from RNAcentral.
CCUACGGGAGGCAGCAGUAAGGAAUAUUGGUCAAUGGAGGCAACUCUGAACCAGCCAUGCCGCGUGCAGGAAGAAGGCCCUAUGGGUCGUAAACUGCUUUUGUACCAGAGAAAACCCGAGUACGUGUACUCGGUUGAUAGUAUGGUAAGAAUAAGCAUCGGCUAACUUCGUGCCAGCAGCCGCGGUAAGACGAAGGAUGCAAGCGUUAUCCGGAUUCAUUGGGUUUAAAGGGUGCGUAGGCGGACUGAUAAGUCAGUGGUGAAAUCUCUCAGCUUAACUGAGAAACUGCCAUUGACACUGUUAGUCUAGAGUAUAGAUGACGUUGGCGGAAUAUGACAUGUAGUGGUGAAAUACUUAGAUAUGUCAUAGAACACCGAUUGCGAAGGCAGCUAAACGAAACUAUAACUGACGCUGAGGCACGAAAGUGCGGGGAUCAAACAGGAUUAGAUACCCUGGUACGUACCGCACCGUAAACGAUAUAUACUGUUGUGUANAUAUGCGCGACGCGACCGAACGACGAAGAGAUAAUAACUCCGACCG